RNAcentral lists this ribosomal RNA (428 nucleotides) under uncultured bacterium. Its description in RNAcentral is "bacterial SSU rRNA". It matches the Rfam family "Bacterial small subunit ribosomal RNA", at positions 355 to 775 of the family's 1533-position model. The record is from RNAcentral.
UGGGGAAUUUUGGACAAUGGGGGCAACCCUGAUCCAGCCAUGCCGCGUGCGGGAAGAAGGCCUUCGGGUUGUAAACCGCUUUUGGUCGGAAAGAAAAGCCCGGAGUUAAUACCUCGGGGUCUUGACGGUACCGGCAGAAUAAGCACCGGCUAACUACGUGCCAGCAGCCGCGGUAAUACGUAGGGUGCGAGCGUUAAUCGGAAUUACUGGGCGUAAAGCGUGCGCAGGUGGUUUGUUAAGUCUGCUGUGAAAGCCCCGGGCUCAACCUGGGAAUGGCAGUAGAAACUGGCGAGCUAGAGUGUGGCAGAGGGGGGUGGAAUUCCACGUGUAGCAGUGAAAUGCGUAGAGAUGUGGAGGAACACCAAUGGCGAAGGCAGCCCCCUGGGUUAACACUGACACUCAGGCACGAAAGCGUGGGGAGCAAACAG